This is a non-coding RNA of Pelobates cultripes (western spadefoot toad), 235 nucleotides long. The record is from the annotation of a GenBank genome assembly. Lineage: Eukaryota; Metazoa; Chordata; Amphibia; Anura; Pelobatidae.
UUGUCUUAAUAGGUCAUGAAUCUCAAUGUUACUAAAAUGCUCUUGAAAUUAAACAUGAGUCCUGAAAAUGGCAAUCAAUAUUUCAAUACCAUAGGUUCCCCUCUGUCCAACCCCCCUCCCAAAGUUAAAGCUUAAAAAAGAUUACUUACCUCAUUUCUAGAGCUGUGACUCCUCUUCUGCAGGCUCCAUCUCCCCCACUAGUAAUUUUAGAUUCCAAGUAUCUUCAAAGAGAAGC